GCAGUAGAUGCUCUGUUUAACUGUUUUCUGUUAACUGUUUACUGUUUGCUUGUGAAAUGCUCAGUUUUUCCACUUAGACUUACUUUGCGUCCUGUAAAUAGUGAAUGCGCUCUUUGCGUGACGCAGCUGACUCUUAAAGGGAAUAGGAGACGAGACUCUGAUUGGUUUAUUCUCAAAACACACCUAUAACUCAUUAAGAAAAUAAACUCAACCCUUUUAGACCAUGCGCCGAAGCGCAAGGCAGAUUUCCCGUCCUUAAAUUAGCAAAAACGCGUCCUGACACGCCCUGAAAGCGUUUGCGCCCUGCGUUUUGCGCUUUGCGCUUUGCGCAUGGACCGUCAAAAUAGAGCCCUUAAAGUUCAACUAAAAUACAACAAACAUGAAUAAUAUUAGCUUCCUCUCCUCUCUCUGUCUCUUUGUCUCUCUCUCUCUCUUUCUCUCUCUUUCAGAAAGAGCUGAAGGAUAAAAUGGCGCAGUACCCCAGUCCAGAGGAGCUGACGCAGUGUGUGACAUGGGAAGUGAUGCAGGCUGCGCUCAUCAGCGAGAAUCCGAAAACCCAGGAGGGUCUGCACGCUGCUAAACACACCGAACCCGUUCACCCUUCGAGCCUAGGGAGCCAAGGUAAUAUGCAUUCGCCUUCCAAUGCAUCUGAUGGGGCGCUGUGCGCUGGGAUGGGCCGACAAAUGUCACGAAUCAGCAUUGGGGCUGAGCGCUACCCAGAGACUGUCGGGGCUCUGAUGGAUUUGGCCAGACUGAAAGACAGGCAAGAGAGUGUGGAGGCCCGUGUGGCGCAACUGCAGGCAAACAAGGCCGAUCUGAGCCAGCUUCAACAUCUGCAUGAUCUCCUCACUGCCAUAGGUACAACACCGAAAGCAGCGGCGCACUCAGAAAUAUGCUUUAUUAUGUCUAUCAUCUUUGCACUUGACAAUGGGGCGUUGAAUUAUUAG
This 947-nucleotide long non-coding RNA is filed under the name Danio rerio (zebrafish). RNAcentral's name for it is "lncRNA (ENSDARG00000117600.1)". The record is from RNAcentral. Lineage: Eukaryota; Metazoa; Chordata; Actinopteri; Cypriniformes; Danionidae.